Molecule: ribosomal RNA, 159 nt
Filed under: Rhizopogon roseolus
Lineage: Eukaryota; Fungi; Basidiomycota; Agaricomycetes; Boletales; Rhizopogonaceae
Description: 5.8S ribosomal RNA
Rfam family: 5.8S ribosomal RNA
About the family: 5.8S ribosomal RNA (5.8S rRNA) is a component of the large subunit of the eukaryotic ribosome. It is transcribed by RNA polymerase I as part of the 45S precursor that also contains 18S and 28S rRNA. Functionally, it is thought that 5.8S rRNA may be involved in ribosome translocation.
Source: RNAcentral
CAACUUUCAGCAAUGGAUCUCUUGGCUCUCGCAUCGAUGAAGAACGCAGCGAAAAGCGAUAUGUAAUGUGAAUUGCAGAUCUACAGUGAAUCAUCGAAUCUUUGAACGCACCUUGCGCUCCUCGGUGUUCCGAGGAGCAUGCCUGUUUGAGUGUCGGUA